AUGUUGAUGUGUUUGAAGUGGACA
This 24-nucleotide non-coding RNA is filed under the name Cricetulus griseus (Chinese hamster). Lineage: Eukaryota; Metazoa; Chordata; Mammalia; Rodentia; Cricetidae. The record is from RNAcentral.